Molecule: long non-coding RNA, 5133 nt
Organism: Vicia villosa (hairy vetch)
Lineage: Eukaryota; Viridiplantae; Streptophyta; Magnoliopsida; Fabales; Fabaceae
Exons: 3
Source: RefSeq, a predicted model, not a curated record
AACAUGGGUGCAUGAACUUAAGACAUUGUUUGGCUUAAAGAUUAGUUUUUGAUAGUGGAAGAAGGAAGAGAUAAAGAAGAGAAGUUUAUGUUCUCUCUCACAAACUCCAUUUUCGUACUCCAAUGGCAGCAUCCACUAAAUCAGGUAUAUCUCUCUACUCGUAAAUCCGAUUGAGCUGAUUCUGGUCCCAUUGGAAAGCUAACGAAUUUCUCUUCGAUUUGCACCUAUGGUUCGCGUUUAUAGCUUCUGUUUUGGAGGAGAAAACUGACCUUGAAGUUGUGUUAGUCAUGCUGAAAGUAUGAAGAGAGUAGAUACGGGUUUGAUGAAGAUGAAGUGAAACUUUGGCUAUGGUGGGAGUUCAAUGGCAGCAAGAACAUGAUCUUAACCUCCAUUAAAUCCAAGGUACAGUUUAGUAGUGGUUGGUCAGUAGCGGGUUUGGAUUGAAGAUUUGGAAGUGGUGAUGGCUCGGAGACCUCGUCAGAUCUUAUUUUCCGCUGUGCAGAUCCAUUGAAGACACAUGUUUUGUAAUUAUUAAUAUUAUUUCAUGUUGUAUUUAUAUGGAUCAUCUUGUAUCUUUGGCUUUUGUAUGUACUCAAAUACCAAUUUUUAACGUUUCAUGCAUAAUAUACUAGUCAAUUAUGUAUGGGGUGUUACAGUUGGUAUCAGAGCAGGUCGAUUCUCGGCCGAGCCAUGAGACAUCACUAGCAAUUCCUUUCCUCCUCACAUGUGUGCAUUGCCAGCCUGAUUUUACUGAUAUCUCAUUCAGUUGUUGAACUUGAUCAACUCAUCGACUGAGUGUGGGACGGUAGAAUUACGGCAGAGCCGCCACGAGGACUUGUAACCUGUAAGUGUCGUGAACCCAAGUAGUAAGGAUUAGUUGGGUGGUGAAUUAUAUAUGGAAGCUGGAUUUAUUGGACGACGUAAGUAGAAGGGAUGUUGGAGUUGUCAGACUUAAGGAGAGCGUUUGAUGCGAAGUGGUGAUACCCAAACUGUCAAAGUAUGGAUCGAGAUAACUAGAACUCACAAGAUUUUGAUUGGACGGAGUGAAACUUUCUUUAAGUCUUGGUAAUAGCAAGGGAAAUCCAGUAAGGAUUGAGAUAGGGCCUUGUAAGUGAGAUUCUCCGAAGGUGUUGAGCUGGGAUUUAUUAGGAUUCAGUACUGAUGAUGCUGCCAGUGUUAGGUGUGGCUGGUGAGCUGAUAGGACAGAAUAACCUUUGGAAGCGCGGAUAGAGGAGUCUGACCUUUCUGAUUACGCUGGUACAGACAGUGAUUGGAUGGGCGAAGUAUUAAAUUCUGAAUUUGCUUGGUGUACCUAAGAGGGAGUGGUUACCUGGUAAAGGUUGGUGGAAUGUAUGAAUAUGGUAACUUACGAUUGGGUGAAUCUUGGAUACCUGAUUGAUGGUAUAGGGCAUGCAUUUCUAUUCUUAUCAUUUUAUAUUUAGGUUCUAGAACUACGCUUGGCGUUAGGAGUUCAGCCGAGUAAGAACUAAGAUCUAUCUGGAACGUCAAUAGGAUGAUCGCAGUUGUGUUGGUUGUUAGGAACCAUAGUAUUCCUAUCUGGACUGAAUUAUCCUUGGAAUCUCAUGCAUGCGUGGGACGAGUGGGUACGCGCAUUGCAUGGUAACCCGAAGUUGAACUUCAAUCUUCGUGCUUAGCAUUUUGGCUUUCCGAGUAAGUAAACCUUGGUGUGUAGCACUCUCAGGUUUUAGCAUCCUGAGGAGUGUGAUUCGAAGGACUUGAGGAACGAUGAGCCUAUUGGAAGCCUGUUCAGACACUUGUCGGUUGUGACUUUAGGAUACGCGUGGAGAUCGUUAUACGCCACUGAGGUAGUUUACCUGGAUACAUGGCCUUGGAGUUAGACCACCAUGUUGGUACUACCAGACGGGUAUAAUGCCACAGUAUCGUUAUUGUGCACAAAGAUGCGUGAGUCAUCUUUUUCCGACAUGUGUGGGACAAAGGUGACCUGAAGCUCAAGGUAGAAUUCUGAUUUGGCACUUGUGAGAUGCAGAUCCAGACUCUCAUAAGGUAUGUGGGAUAAGGAUCCAUACGUUGCGCUCGAUAGUAGAGGAAUGACUAGACAGGCGAUGGUGUAAUGGAUCAAGAUCCAAUACUAUACUUAUGGAGACCCUGAGUGAUCGUGAUCGCGUGAGUUAGUAUCAGAUUGUACCUUGGGAUGUUCUCGUUUCAUGAAGUGUUAAGUUGGCAAUUUUGCAUGAGUGUCUAGGGUGGAACUCAUGUGCGGUCAUGAUAUCCUGGUCAGCAUGGUGAGUGGCUAUCAUAUACCAUUGGCGACCAGUGAUAGACUAGGCGAAAUGUAUCUUGGAUCGGCUCGAUGUGAUGUGUCUGGUAGAGUAUUGGUAGAUGCUCAGAGUAAAGAAGUGUGAAUCUAGGUAAAGCAUAGACAUUUUGUUUGAGAACUGCUGAGGAGUCUAUGAAAGAGACGUUCGAGGUGCAAAGUGCAAUUUCUUGCAUUGUGGCUACACUCUGACUGUUAGAAGCACCGCAAUGAAGGAUGCAGCCUCCGAGGAAGUCAGUUCAGUGUCUGAUUUAGAGGUGGAACAUACAUUAAAUGACUGUGUGAAUGGAGUGUGGCUAUGGGAGGAUUGUUAUAUCAGUAAGUCGCACGAGUUAUCAUAGGUGAUACUACGCUAAGAGAAUGAAGGUGUCUGGUUGGGUAGAAGUUGCGUAAAACUGCUAGAGUUAUCAUGAGUUGGAGUACAUUCUUGAAGGGUUUAUUAUACCAGUUAAGCAACAAGAAUUGUUGGAAGGGAAAAACGUAGCAGUUGUACACUGUGGAAAUCAGUGACAAGGACGAACCUCUAAGUCAGUGAGUAUUUGGGUUUCAAUAUCCUGAGAUCGAAACGUGUGCCUAAGUUGUGAUAGAUGGAUCUAAUAUGAAAUGAUAGAUUAACUAGAGACUUGGUUCUGGGAAUACGCAACUUCGAGGAGUUGUAGUCGGCGAUGGAUGUAUAUGGAUUCCUGGCACAUGUUGUAUUUGGACAGCUGUAGAUAAGGAAUUAUUGUGUAUUAAUGGAAACUAACUGAAAUAUGGACAUAGCGUAACUCAGAGGAUUUCAAGGUGUGUGAAUUGUUGGAAUCAGAGUAGCGCAGCGGAUCGAGGAAGAACCAAAUAAGUCUGAGGUAGGAAUGAACGGACUAAUUGUAGGAUCUUAUCUUGGGAUGGAAGUAUCUUCCCAAGAGGAACUCGUCGAAGCAGCAUUUCGUUUUGUCAGUCUCUCUCGGGGAUCCACCAUAACCACGAGAGAUACCGAUAGUGGGCCAGAUUGGGGAAUAGACCUUGUGGAUGACAUGUGAUCCGAUGUUUGUAGAUCAUCAGUUGAACUUGUAAGCAUCAAGGGUUGGACAUAGUAUCGUGAUCGCCGAAAUGCUGGAGGCUAGUGGAGACAUUCAGCUGGCACCAGUUCUUUGUGGUUAAGCCUUGUGCACUAUGAUCGUGCAGGAAGACUCGGGCAGUGGUUACAGAUCAGCUAUUGAAUUUCACCUCUCAUCAGUAGAAUCUUGUGUGAGGUUGUCGAAUGUCAAGGCUAUAGUUGCAAGAUGCUACGCUAUCAUGGAUUGCGGUGAUGACUGAUACAUCUAGCACUGAGGCGAGAGUUAAGUAAGGAGAUUCAGUUGUAUAAGUAAGGGGUAAACUUUAGACAACCAUCCUAACAUUUUGGAAACCAGAAGUUAGGACCAAGAUAUUUGGCUAACGCCUAAUGUCAUUAUAUGGACUUUGGUAGGGAAUAAUUUGAAGCGUCGUCAUAGAACGGAAUGUUAUGACAAGAAUGCUUGGAUGGGAAGUAAUUCAAGGGGCCUGAGUGAAUCAAUAGGUGUGUUGGACAAGGGUGAACACAAUAGAGUUUGAACAGCAGAUAUCCAAUAUGAGUGGAUUACUAGGGUUUCUGAAGUUCUAGGGAUUCGGUGCAGAGCAGUAAAGGUCAAGGACCCUGGAAGGAUAUUUCCCAAGGUAUGUCAAGACGAAGUAUCUGAAUAGAUGUGUUGCUUGACGGUUAAGGUUUCUAAUCAUGUAUAGUGGGACGCAAGUAUUUUGGCAGAUUGUGUUUCUUCGUAUAGGAUGAUCCUCAGACAGAGUAGUGAGAUUAUCUAAAGACGAAUGUGAGUAACAUUCUUUCCCUGGAUUGGAUAGAUAAGAAGGGUUGGUCUCCGUGGUAACCGGAAAGAAUUCGAGGACGAAUUCAAUUUAAGGGGGGGAGAAUGUAAUAUCCCACAUUAAUCCAAGCAAGAUUAUAUAUGAAGUCCAAGAGGAAUUAUGAAUUUAAUCCUUAAUUGAGAAGUGGUUAGUUAAAGUGGAAAGAGUUUGGUUGGAAACCAACUAGAUGGCAAACUAGUAAUUUUGGCAUGGUUAGAGGGCACAUUGGUCAUUAAACAUGGGUGCAUGAACUUAAGACAUUGUUUGGCUUAAAGAUUAGUUUUUGAUAGUGGAAGAAGGAAGAGAUAAAGAAGAGAAGUUUAUGUUCUCUCUCACAAACUCCAUUUUCGUACUCCAAUGGCAGCAUCCACUAAAUCAGGUAUAUCUCUCUACUCGUAAAUCCGAUUGAGCUGAUUCUGGUCCCAUUGGAAAGCUAACGAAUUUCUCUUCGAUUUGCACCUAUGGUUCGCGUUUAUAGCUUCUGUUUUGGAGGAGAAAACUGACCUUGAAGUUGUGUUAGUCAUGCUGAAAGUAUGAAGAGAGUAGAUACGGGUUUGAUGAAGAUGAAGUGAAACUUUGGCUAUGGUGGGAGUUCAAUGGCAGCAAGAACAUGAUCUUAACCUCCAUUAAAUCCAAGGUACAGUUUAGUAGUGGUUGGUCAGUAGCGGGUUUGGAUUGAAGAUUUGGAAGUGGUGAUGGCUCGGAGACCUCGUCAGAUCUUAUUUUCUGCUGUGCAGAUCCAUUGAAGACACAUGUUUUGUAAUUAUUAAUAUUAUUUCAUGUUGUAUUUAUAUGGAUCAUCUUGUAUCUUUGGCUUUUGUAUGUACUCAAAUACCAAUUUUUAACGUUUCAUGCAUAAUAUACUAGUCAAUUAUGUAUGGGGUGUUACAUCUGCUUUUUGUUGAACUGUCAUCAUGGGAUAGUUCUCUUAUUGCAGAAUUUUGUGGGGUUUUUAGAUCAAUUGAAAUAGCUAGAGACAU